GACGAACGCUGGCGGCGUGCCUAAUACAUGCAAGUCGAACGCUUCUUUCCUCCCGAGUGCUUGCACUCAAUUGGAAAGAGGAGUGGCGGACGGGUGAGUAACACGUGGGUAACCUACCCAUCAGAGGGGGAUAACACUUGGAAACAGGUGCUAAUACCGCAUAACAGUUUAUGCCGCAUGGCAUAAGAGUGAAAGGCGCUUUCGGGUGUCGCUGAUGGAUGGACCCGCGGUGCAUUAGCUAGUUGGUGAGGUAACGGCUCACCAAGGCCACGAUGCAUAGCCGACCUGAGAGGGUGAUCGGCCACACUGGGACUGAGACACGGCCCAGACUCCUACGGGAGGCAGCAGUAGGGAAUCUUCGGCAAUGGACGAAAGUCUGACCGAGCAACGCCGCGUGAGUGAAGAAGGUUUUCGGAUCGUAAAACUCUGUUGUUAGAGAAGAACAAGGACGUUAGUACUGAACGUCCCCUGACGGUAUCUAACCAGAAAGCCACGGCUAACUACGUG
This 507-nucleotide ribosomal RNA is filed under the name uncultured bacterium. RNAcentral's name for it is "partial 16S ribosomal RNA". It matches the Rfam family "Bacterial small subunit ribosomal RNA", at positions 28 to 507 of the family's 1533-position model. The record is from RNAcentral.